GUGGACAUCAACAGUAUUAAUCAUAUAUAAAUAUGUAAAAAGUAUAAGAAUAGUACAUGAUGCCUUGUGUGAUAGACUAUAUCAUACUGGACCUUAGUGUAUUCAUGCUUCUUUGUAUCCACAUCCUUUGGUAGUCCUCUCCCACAUUGACUGGGCAUGGCCAUGGGACUUGUUAAAUGGGACCAUAGCAAAAGUGACCUAAAUAAAAGUGAGAAAAAUUCUUACCCCUCAGGAAUUGUUCUUUAUUCCUAGGAAUACUUCUAUGAUUAUGUGAAGAAGCCUGGGCUAGCCUGCUGAAGGAUGAAAGACCAUGUAGAAAGCAGCCUCAGCUAUUCCAGUUGAGUCACCAGACGUGUGAAUGAGAUGAUCCUAUACAUCAGCCUCAAUUUAGUUGCCUUUGCCAGAAUUUCUCAACCAAACCUAAGUAUUAUGAAAAGUUAUUGGUUUGUCUUUUCAUCCACAGCACAGCUCAAAAUGAGCACAGCUUCCCCACAGAGUGAGUGCUAUGAGCAAUGUAGCAGUUCAUCUGCUUCAAGAUCUUCUUCCCACUACCAGCUCUACUGGGAGAAUGUUCAUUACAUCAUCAUAUAUCUGUCUGAAUUGGAAAAAACAUCUCUAAAUCCUACAUUUAAUUUUUUGGUCAAGUUGUGAAGAAUCACUACCCAAUGCAUAGAAUUACUUUAGCCAAACCGAAUUUUCUGUGAGGUUUUAAUAAUUAACAGUAACACUUCACUUCAUCUUUUAUGCUACUAAAGAUGGGGUUCACACGUUCAGAAGAGGGUAUGUGAAGUAGAGACUAAGUUGUGAUUUGGCUGCAAAUAAUAAGGAAAAGUCUCCGGUGAGUUAUUAAGGUUUCUUCCCUUGAAAAAGGUAGUAAUUUACAGAAACUGAUACAUUAUUAUUAAAACACAAUAAAAAUGGUGCACACAGUUAAAAUAUUUGAAGUCAUAUAUCAACCUAAAAUAGCUACUAUCUUUGCUAUCAAUUGGAUAAUAUUUAUAUUACAUAUUAACUGAAGUAAUCAGAAGGAAAUAAAACUGAAAAAAUAAGCCAGAUAGGAAAAAAUUAAUUUGAAAUAUGACAAUAUGUUUAAUAGUAUAAUUAAAAAGACUAACU
Long non-coding RNA from Pan paniscus (pygmy chimpanzee), 1116 nucleotides. The record is from Ensembl. Lineage: Eukaryota; Metazoa; Chordata; Mammalia; Primates; Hominidae.